This is a long non-coding RNA of Lathyrus oleraceus (garden pea), 712 nucleotides long. RefSeq lists it as uncharacterized. The record is from RefSeq and is a predicted model, not a curated record. The transcript has 4 exons. NCBI's taxonomy places the organism in Eukaryota, Viridiplantae, Streptophyta, Magnoliopsida, Fabales, Fabaceae.
UUCGUAUAUUUAGGAAACUUUUUGCUAAAACAAACACAAAAGGAAAAGAAACCGCAAGUGUCCAAGGCAAUGGAGGAAAGCCUGAGGUAGGGUUUGUCCCAUCGCGAAUCAUCUCCAUGGACCGUUCUGAAGCAUCGAGAAUCAUCUCCAUGGAGCGUUUCUGAACCACGGUGAGUCCUUUCCGUCGACCACUCUGUUUCACCGCCGUAUGGAGCAUCUCAAUUCUAGGAUCUCAAGUCAUCACUCAACAAUGGGAGUCAUUCAAGUAACUGUUUUGGAACCAAUGGAAGCUACCAAACAGCAUCAGGAUAGUUUCGGGGGUUUAUCCGGAGACUCAACAACAAGAAGCUGACAUGAACAAUACUAAUGUAACUCACUAAUCUGAUAAACCUCGAGAUCCAUCCUAGACUUGCCAAAUAAUGAUCUCUCAAGUGUUCUUCUAACAGGUUCUGAUUACCUCUCACAUUGAUAAUGUGCACUGCCUUUUUAAUAUCGUGAUUAUGUGCUCUGUAUUGUUUAAAUAAGUGAUUAUGUGCUCUGUAUUGUUUCGAUAAGUGAUUAAUAUGACUUGUAUUGUUUCGAUAAGUGAUAAUGUGCACUACCUAUUUCACGUAGCUCUGCAAUGUUUCGAUAAGUGAUAAUGUGCACUGCCUAUUUCACGUAGCUCUGCAAUGUUUCAAUAAGUGAUAAUGUGCACUGCCUAUUUCACAUA